UUGGAGGUUCGAUAAUCGAUAAUCUCCCUGGGGUGCUAGCUCUUUUGCAAAGAUCUACUCCUGAUGGCUGAUCGAGCUCAUUCUUUAGAUCUCUCAGACUCUUUCAGGAGGAAAAGAAGGACUUUAGAAGAUAUGAGGUGGGAGGAAGAAGGUGGAGAAGGGAAACUCUUUUCUCUUCUUUUUCUCUCUUCCCAAAAUCCUAGAUGGAACCCUAGGUCUCUCACAUAAGAGGAGAUGUUUCUCCUCUGAUUUCUCAUACCAAAAUUGGAUGCCCACUCUAAUUUCUCACCAUGCUUCUUAGAUAC
Molecule: long non-coding RNA, 305 nt
Filed under: Elaeis guineensis (African oil palm)
Lineage: Eukaryota; Viridiplantae; Streptophyta; Magnoliopsida; Arecales; Arecaceae
Description: long non-coding RNA (EGUI_LNC041819)
Source: RNAcentral